GAUGAACGCUGGCGGCGUGCCUAAUACAUGCAAGUCGAGCGAACGGACGAGAAGCUUGCUUCUCUGAUGUUAGCUGCGGACGGGUGAGUAACACGUGGAUAACCCACCUAUAAGACUGGGAUAACUUCGGGAAACCGGAGCUAAUACCGGAUAAUAUUUUGAACCGCUUGGUUCAAAAGUGAAAGACGGUCUUGCUGUCACUUAUCGAUGGAUCCGCGCAGCUUUAGCUAGUUGGUAAGGUAACGGCUUACCAAGGCAACGGUGCAUAGCCGACCUGAGAGGGGGCUCUGCCACACUGGAACGAAGACCAGGUCCAGACCCCUGCGGGUGGCAGCGGUAGGGAAUCGUGCGUAGUGCGCGAAGACCUGACGGAGCAACGCCGCAUGAGGUAUGAGGGUCUUCGGCUCGUAAAACUCUGUUAUUAGGGAAGAACAUAUGUGUAAGUACAUGUGCACAUCUUGACGAUACCUAAUCAGAAAGCCAGCGCUGACUACGUG
Molecule: ribosomal RNA, 497 nt
Filed under: uncultured bacterium
Lineage: Bacteria
Description: partial 16S ribosomal RNA
Rfam family: Bacterial small subunit ribosomal RNA
Source: RNAcentral